Long non-coding RNA from Frieseomelitta varia, 694 nucleotides. RefSeq lists it as uncharacterized. The record is from RefSeq and is a predicted model, not a curated record. The transcript has 4 exons. NCBI's taxonomy places the organism in Eukaryota, Metazoa, Arthropoda, Insecta, Hymenoptera, Apidae.
ACGAUCGUAUUACGAAACUCUUUUCGCGCCCCGAUCGGGGCUCUAGUGUUUGUGCGCGUUCGUGGAACCCUCGCUGACUCUUGCUGACUGUUAUUCCGGGCAAUUUUUAUUGCAACGCAAUUGAUUGUACGUGCGGUAAACUGUAUACGAGCAAGCAGACGACAUAAGUUGAUUCCGCCGGAAGUUUCGCCGAAGUCCAGGUACAACGCAACGCAACGAUCUCUUCUUUUAUCGCCGAUUAAAUAUAUACAGGGUGGGCGGCAAUUCGGUGACUCUACGUCAAAAAAAUAAGAGAAAAAUUUGAGGAUGUUCCUGUAUGAUUUUCCAACAUGACGGUGCCAUAUUACACGAGAGAGGUUAACAACUUUUUUAAUCAAACGUAUUCGUGUUGGAUCGAUGUUUGCCACCAAGGUCACCGAACCUCACGCCUCUAGAUUUCUUUUUACGGCGGCAUAUCAGAGAAGAAGUUUUAUAAAGACAAUAUUUCAAACAUUACACAUUUGGAGCAAAAGAUUAUGGAGGGAUUCGAGAAAUUGAAAAAAACGACAUCAGAUUGCAUUCUGUUCAGAUAUCAUUCGUCGAGCAACAUACAGCAACGAGGAGGACAUUUUCAACAAUACUAAUAGCACGGGGACGUGAUGGAAGACUGGACAACUAAGUCGUUCACAAAGAUGAAACAAACUUCAAAGUCGAU